This 578-nucleotide ribosomal RNA is filed under the name uncultured bacterium. RNAcentral's name for it is "bacterial SSU rRNA". It matches the Rfam family "Bacterial small subunit ribosomal RNA", at positions 102 to 694 of the family's 1533-position model. The record is from RNAcentral.
ACGGGUGAGUAACACGUGGGUGAUCUGCCCUGCACUUUGGGAUAAGCCUGGGAAACUGGGUCUAAUACCGAAUAUGAUCACGGGCUUCAUGGUCUGUGGUGGAAAGCUUUUGCGGUGUGGGAUGGGCCCGCGGCCUAUCAGCUUGUUGGUGGGGUAAUGGCCUACCAAGGCGACGACGGGUAGCCGGCCUGAGAGGGUGUCCGGCCACACUGGGACUGAGAUACGGCCCAGACUCCUACGGGAGGCUGCAGUGGGGAAUAUUGCACAAUGGGCGCAAGCCUGAUGCAGCGACGCCGCGUGAGGGAUGACGGCCUUCGGGUUGUAAACCUCUUUCAGCAGGGACGAAGCGCAAGUGACGGUACCUGUAGAAGAAGCACCGGCCAACUACGUGCCAGCAGCCGCGGUAAUACGUAGGGUGCGAGCGUUGUCCGGAAUUACUGGGCGUAAAGAGCUCGUAGGUGGUUUGUCGCGUUGUUCGUGAAAACUCACAGCUUAACUGUGGGCGUGCGGGCGAUACGGGCAGACUGGAGUACUGCAGGGGAGACUGGAAUUCCUGGUGUAGCGGUGGAAUGCGCAGA